Molecule: small nuclear RNA, 94 nt
Filed under: Zalophus californianus (California sea lion)
Lineage: Eukaryota; Metazoa; Chordata; Mammalia; Carnivora; Otariidae
Source: RNAcentral
GUGCUCGCUUUGGCAGCAUAUAUACUAAAAUUGGAACGGUACAGAGAAGAUUGGCACAGAUGACACUCAAAUUCGUGAAGCAUUCCAUGUUUUU